AGUGAACGCUGGCGGCGUGCCUAAUACAUGCAAGUCGAACGCGAAAGUCCUUCGGGAUGAGUAAAGUGGCGCACGGGUGAGUAAUACAUGGGAACAUGCCCUUGGAUGGGGAAUAACGUUUGGAAACGAACGCUAAUACCGCAUAAUCUCGCGAGAGUAAAGGUGGCGCCGCAAGGGCUACCGUCCAAGGAUUGGCCCAUGUCCCAUUAGCUAGUUGGCGGGGUAAUGGCCCACCAAGGCAACGAUGGGUAACUGGUCUGAGAGGAUGAUCAGUCACACUGGAACUGAGACACGGUCCAGACUCCUACGGGAGGCAGCAGUAGGGAAUAUUGCACAAUGGGGGAAACCCUGAUGCAGCAACGCCGCGUGAGUGAAGAAGGCCCUUGGGUUGUAAAGCUCUUUAGCGAGGGAAGAAGGUAGAUACGGUGAACAAUCGUGUUUGCUGACGGUACCUCGAGAAUAAGCACCGGCUAAUUUCGUGCCAGCCGCCGCAGUAAUAC
Molecule: ribosomal RNA, 500 nt
Filed under: uncultured bacterium
Lineage: Bacteria
Description: bacterial SSU rRNA
Rfam family: Bacterial small subunit ribosomal RNA
Source: RNAcentral